AACGAACGCUGGCGGCAUGCCUAACACAUGCAAGUCGAACGAGACCUUCGGGUCUAGUGGCGCACGGGUGCGUAACGCGUGGGAACCUGCCCUUAGGUUCGGACUAACUCCCCGAAAGGGGUGCUAAUACCGGAUAAUGUCUUCGGACCAAAGAUUUAUCGCCUUUGGAUGGGCCCGCGUUGGAUUAGCUAGUUGGUAGGGUAAAAGCCUACCAAGGCGACGAUCCAUAGCUGGUCUGAGAGGAUGAUCAGCCACACUGGGACUGAGACACGGCCCAGACUCCUACGGGAGGCAGCAGUGGGGAAUAUUGGACAAUGGGCGAAAGCCUGAUCCAGCAAUGCCGCGUGAGUGAUGAAGGCCGUAGGGUUGUAAAGCUCUUUUACCCGGGAUGAUAAUGACAGUACCGGGAGAAUAAGCUCCGGCUAACUCCGUG
This 433-nucleotide ribosomal RNA is filed under the name uncultured bacterium. RNAcentral's name for it is "partial 16S ribosomal RNA". It matches the Rfam family "Bacterial small subunit ribosomal RNA", at positions 29 to 507 of the family's 1533-position model. The record is from RNAcentral.